This 82-nucleotide transfer RNA is filed under the name Candidatus Thorarchaeota archaeon. RNAcentral describes it as "tRNA-Arg". The stretch from base 19 to 79 matches the Rfam family "tRNA". From Rfam's summary of the family: Transfer RNA (tRNA) molecules are approximately 80 nucleotides in length. Their secondary structure includes four short double-helical elements and three loops (D, anti-codon, and T loops). Further hydrogen bonds mediate the characteristic L-shaped molecular structure. tRNAs have two regions of fundamental functional importance: the anti-codon, which is responsible for specific mRNA codon recognition, and the 3' end, to which the tRNAs corresponding amino acid is attached (by aminoacyl-tRNA synthetases). tRNAs cope with the degeneracy of the genetic code in two manners: having more than one tRNA (with a specific anti-codon) for a particular amino acid; and 'wobble' base-pairing, i.e. permitting non-standard base-pairing at the 3rd anti-codon position. Lineage: Archaea; Promethearchaeati; Candidatus Thorarchaeota. The record is from RNAcentral.
GAGUUCAUAUCUCAAUGGAGGUUCAUAGGGCACUAGCCUCCUAAGUUAGUAAUCCCCGGUUCAAAUCCGGGCGGGCCCGCCA